GGAAUCGAGCACGUGGGAGUCUGUCGAUUUGCAUCUCCCAUCUCCGCUGGAGGUCUUCUCCCUGCCGUAAAGAAGCAAACUGCAGAGAAGUUGUCGGUGGAUGCGGGGCUCAGUCUCCAUAUCGUGGGACCCAGGGACGCAAUUGGAAACACUGGUUAUAUUGCCAACACCUUGGCUGGAAUGCCAUUUGAGACUCAGAUAUGACCACAUAGCUUUAAGGACUUUAAGGAACGAAGGUUGACAUUAUGGAGCCAAUAAAGUCCUUUGGAAAAACUACCUGAUACCUAGCUUACAAGGCUUCCCAGCAGCCUUACCAGGCAUCUUUCACAAAGCAUAUGAUCCCCUGAUGAAAAGAAUGUUGGAAAAGGAGCAAAGAUAAUGACCAGCUUAAAGAAUGUGAACCUAGAAAUGAGCAAAGGAAAAAAAAGAGAGACUAACAAGAAACAGACUCAACUAUAGAGAACAAACUGAUGGUUACCAGAAGGGAGGUGGGUGGGAGGAUGGGUGAAGUAGGUAAAGGGGAUUAAGAGUCCAUUUACCAUGAUGAGCACUGAGCAACGUAUGGAAUUGAAUCACUAUAUUGUAUGCCGAAAACUGAUAUAACACUAUAUGUUAACUAUUUUGGAAUUAAAAUUAAAAACAAUUAAAAAAAUGUGAAUCUGAAGCUAUAACCUGUGAAUAUCAUACAGAGAUUCCACAAAAACUGUAAGAACCUGAGUUUAGCAGCGAGUGGCACAAAUGCCUUAAAUUUUGGAGACAUCUCUCAGGUAGGCUGAGAAUCUGAUAAAAAGAGGGAAAUUGUUGAAAACAAGGAAACAGGCCUGCCCAAAAUAGAGUCACCUUUACUAAGUACCAUAGCACAAAAGUGAUACAUAAUUACAAUUUUGGCUUUCUGAGAAAUGGAAUCCUUAACCAGUCAAUCAAGAAUUGCCUGAUCAGUACUAGUUAGGUAACAUGCCUGAUAGACUGCUACCAUCCCCUAAAGGAAGGUAACCUUGCAAUUACCAACCUGCUUUUUUGCCUAGGAUAAUUUCCUUGUUGCUGCUCUCCCUUACGCUUAUAAAGGUCUUCCAUUUUGUGGAGCUCUUCUCUAUCUGCUAGAUUGCA
Molecule: long non-coding RNA, 1107 nt
Organism: Mustela lutreola (European mink)
Lineage: Eukaryota; Metazoa; Chordata; Mammalia; Carnivora; Mustelidae
Exons: 3
Source: RefSeq, a predicted model, not a curated record